GGGCCUUUAGCUCAGUUGGUCAGAGUUGCGGACUCAUAAUCCGUCGGUCCUUGGUUCAAGUCCAAGAAGGCCCA
Molecule: transfer RNA, 74 nt
Filed under: Treponema sp.
Lineage: Bacteria; Pseudomonadati; Spirochaetota; Spirochaetia; Treponematales; Treponemataceae
Description: tRNA-Ile
Rfam family: tRNA
About the family: Transfer RNA (tRNA) molecules are approximately 80 nucleotides in length. Their secondary structure includes four short double-helical elements and three loops (D, anti-codon, and T loops).
Source: RNAcentral